CAGUCUUGUCCACACUGUCUUCUCUCGCUGUCUCUAGUGACUGAGUUUUAAAUCCCACUACAGAAGUGGUUUUUCAUCCCCUCCUGGAGAAACCUGCUGGCCCAGCUGUCUUCCUCAUUGACAUUUAAAAUAGACAAGGUUCCCUGUGUGGUUUCAACCAGGUUUGACGUGUCAGUCAUUGCUUGGCUUUGGGGGCUCCCCCUCGGAUGGGUUGGGGAGGGCUUUUGGGUGGGGAUUUGUUUAACUGGGAAGCCCUGAGGUUUCGAGGGCAGUUAGUACUGCUUACAAAGUGUGUCAGACACUUAACAGCUGGUAACCACAUGUCAUGUUUUAUCUAGAGCUUAAUCAGAGAGACUGCUUGGUGACUAUUGAGUCUCCUUCUGGGAGUUUUUCAUGAUUU
This 400-nucleotide long non-coding RNA is filed under the name Bos taurus (domestic cattle). RNAcentral's name for it is "long non-coding RNA NONBTAT007377". The record is from RNAcentral. Lineage: Eukaryota; Metazoa; Chordata; Mammalia; Artiodactyla; Bovidae.